Non-coding RNA from Meleagris gallopavo (turkey), 1276 nucleotides. Lineage: Eukaryota; Metazoa; Chordata; Aves; Galliformes; Phasianidae. The record is from RefSeq and is a predicted model, not a curated record.
AGGCCAAUCGUCGCUAGAACUGCAGCCCGCCCAUUUUAUGGCUACGCCCACACCGGCAUUACCUCAGGGCUGGGGUUGAGUAGGGAUCUGAAAUUUUGCUGGGACGGUGCUGGAUUUUGAGGCGGUAUUGGCUGAUUCUGAGGGAACGGCGCUGGUCAAACUAGAUGUGACUGGAAGACAACACAGGUCCUAGAGAUCUCCGGCUGGACCCUAAAGUACUAUCCAUCACAUAUCAUUGCUGCACACUUUCUCUGUAAUCCAAGAUGAAAAAUGAGAAGUUGAUCAUGUUGACAGCCCCAGAACAUCCAAGAAAGACUCCUACAUCACCACUGUGUAGUUCUGAGAGAAUAAAACUAGGUUUUUCUGGCCACUAAAAGAGGAGACAAAUACACUACUUGGAGCCUGAAACUCUAUUAAGUACCGCAAUGCAGGCACAUAUUUCAGUAAAUGGAGAUGGGCAGUUAGGUCAUGCCUGAGUGUGCAUGCUUGGUUAAGUUGAUGCUGAUAUGCUGCCUCCUUCCAUGGUUGAUAUCAACAUUAAAUGACUCAUUUGCACAAACUUGCAUCUGUUAUUUAUGCUGAUUGCAUCAUCCUGACAGUAAAGCACAAUUACUCCACCACUAUCAGUGCUUUCCUCUCCCACUUCAGCCAGAAGAUCAAAAUACCUUCAGUCUUGGAAUCCAAAAUCCCUGGGAGCUGCUCAAAAAGGACACACAUUUCUGUAGCUGGCAGGCAUGAAAUGACUCCACUCAAAACCCUGCUGUAACACAAUGCUCUGAUUUUACUUUAGAACAUCACCUGGAAAAAAGGCAUAAUGUGAGGUAAAAGUGAAGCUUGUGGGCACUGUGGUGGUGUGUUGGCACUCAGAUGCUUUGGAGGCAGACUUUUGCCCUGGUGUGCUUAUUUGCUGAACUUUGUCUGCCAGCUGUAGUGGGCAGGACUCAUGACUGCAGUUUCCUGCCACAACAAAUUGUUUAUCAGCUGCAUAAAAGGCAGGAGCCUCACUGGUGUGAGCCUUGACAUCCCAAAUGCAGUCUGGAAGCAUGACUCCAGCAAUACAUGACAUCCUGAGACUCUGCAGAUGUGUAAGAAAUCUCUGGGCCUGCUAAAGCAUUCCCCUUGUUCCUUCAUCACCAGUCCUAACCUUCAUGGCUGUCCACAUGCAGCAUGCUGCAGCAGAAGACCAUGGCAGCUCUGCAAGCUCAAUUGCUGGUAGGAACCUAAAAUCUUCCCAUUUGCAGGGAGCUUUCAAGUCUAUCUCACAGGGACACACCUU